CCCAGCGUAGCUCAACGGCAGAGCGGUCGGCUGUAGCCCGACAGGUUGGCGGUUCAAAUCCGCCCGCUGGGA
Molecule: transfer RNA, 72 nt
Filed under: Candidatus Woesearchaeota archaeon
Lineage: Archaea; Nanobdellati; Candidatus Woesearchaeota
Description: tRNA-Tyr
Rfam family: tRNA
About the family: Transfer RNA (tRNA) molecules are approximately 80 nucleotides in length. Their secondary structure includes four short double-helical elements and three loops (D, anti-codon, and T loops).
Source: RNAcentral